GAACGCUGGCGGCGUGCCUAAUACAUGCAAGUAGAACGCUGAAGGAGGAGCUUGCUUCUCUGGAUGAGUUGCGAACGGGUGAGUAACGCGUAGGUAACCUGCCUGGUAGCGGGGGAUAACUAUUGGAAACGAUAGCUAAUACCGCAUAAUAGUAGAUGUUGCAUGACAUUUGCUUAAAAGGUGCAAUUGCAUCACUACCAGAUGGACCUGCGUUGUAUUAGCUAGUUGGUGGGGUAACGGCUCACCAAGGCGACGAUACAUAGCCGACCUGAGAGGGUGAUCGGCCACACUGGGACUGAGACACGGCCCAGACUCCUACGGGAGGCAGCAGUAGGGAAUCUUCGGCAAUGGACGGAAGUCUGACCGAGAAACGCCGCGUGAGUGAAGAAGGUUUUCGGAUCGUAAAGCUCUGUUGUAAGAGAAGAACGAGUGUGAGAGUGGAAAGUUCACACUGUGACGGUAUCUGACCAGAAAGGGACGGCUAACUACGUG
This 492-nucleotide ribosomal RNA is filed under the name uncultured bacterium. RNAcentral describes it as "partial 16S ribosomal RNA". It matches the Rfam family "Bacterial small subunit ribosomal RNA", at positions 31 to 507 of the family's 1533-position model. The record is from RNAcentral.